Long non-coding RNA from Gossypium arboreum, 535 nucleotides. RefSeq lists it as uncharacterized. Lineage: Eukaryota; Viridiplantae; Streptophyta; Magnoliopsida; Malvales; Malvaceae. The record is from RefSeq and is a predicted model, not a curated record. The transcript is spliced from 3 exons.
UAAUAAAAUAAAGAAAAGAAAAUAUCAUCUUUUCUUCAUCUUCUCUCCACCGAAAAAUGGCAGCAAAGAAAGGGUUUAGAAGCUGGAAACUUUCAGCAAAGAAACUCCCUUUAUAAUGAUGAAAAUUGAGAUUUGGACCUAGAACGGAAAGAAAUCGAUUUAUGGACGAGUAUGUCUUUUCACCUUUGUGGUAUAUAGUACUCGGAAGCUCAUAAAGGUUGGAAGUGGGUCAUAGCAAAAUCACACUAUCCUUCAGCUCAUUUUGGUAUAAUUAGUAAAAUUACCUUUGGUAUAAUGGCAUGUAUACACUAAAUUAAGCCAAAUGAUUAUAUGCUUUGGUUGUAAUUAGCCAUUGGAAUGGCUAGUGAUGGUACGUUUGAUGUAUAUAUGCAUGAGGUUGUAUUAUGUUUGGUAUGUGAGUGUGCUUAGAUUGGUAUUUUAGCUAUAAACAUACUUAAGUAAAUGAUCAAUUGAGUAAGUUGGAAGUUUGAAUAAAUGUCAUGAUAUAUCAUGUAUAAGACUUAGUUUGGCUUGA